Long non-coding RNA from Dendronephthya gigantea, 179 nucleotides. RefSeq lists it as uncharacterized. The record is from RefSeq and is a predicted model, not a curated record. Lineage: Eukaryota; Metazoa; Cnidaria; Anthozoa; Malacalcyonacea; Nephtheidae. The transcript is spliced from 3 exons.
ACAUGGUUAAAAAGAUUAAAACAAACGAGACAAUUUUACUAUAUCUGCGCGAGGAAUUUGGCUGCGAAUGGAGUUUAUCGACACUGAAGAGACGUUUGAAAGCAAUGAAUAUCAAGAGACAUGAUCAAACCAUAUCCCCACAACAAGUGAUUAAUGCUAUUCAGAUUGAAAAUCAGGGA